UCAUAUUUCUUUUUUUUUUUUUUUGCCAUCUUGUCUUUCGAAACUAACCCUCAACUGUAGAGGAUUCUAAAUACAAGAUAGUGUCGUGGACUGUUUUCUCAAGAAAAUAUGGAUGUUUUUGUGAGCUUUGUUCUACCAACUUUUUUAUUUAUUUAUUAUUUUUUUGAUAGAGCUUACUUCUUUUUAGGCUUAGGUGUUUUGGGUGGUUUUACUGGCAUAAAGUUGUUUGGAGCUUAUCCUCUCAGUUUCUUAAUUUAUUUUCUCUUUAAUAAUAAAAUCUCUUGCUUAAAAAAUAGCUAAUUACACUAAUUCUUCAGGCAAAUAAGUUGUUAGCAAUCAAAUGAUUCUGAUUUAUCCAUCUAGCUUUUAGAUUUUCCAUGUCGUAAUUGUGAGAGAUUUUUUAUGAAUCUGUUUUAUCUUGUCCUGUUUAUGAAUCUCGAAUGCAGAACUCUAAAUAGAGGGAAGGGAUUAAAGUAUUUGGGAAGUUUGUGAAAUUACUAAUUUAUCCUUGAAAAAUUUUGGAAUUUUAGGAUCCCAGUGCCCCCCUUCCCCUAGGAUGCUUCCGUCUCCUUGCUCAAUGGGUAUCGUAAGUUCCAACUGGGGUUACUAAUUUGGUUCAACCUCCUGGGCUUCAGCAAUGACUCCAUGAUAGCUUGGGCUUAGCUGUUUGCCGUGUCGUAGUUGGGUGUGCUUAGAGCUUCGGCUCUUUUCAGUAAUUGCCAAAAAAUAAAAAAAUAAAAUGUCCCGCCAGUUGACAUCAGUCAGCACCGGUAAUUUUGUUCAAAAAUAAAAGUCUACAUCGGUAAUCGCAGCCUAACUAUUCUAGAUUGAAUUUGACGGUUUCGGGUUACAUUGUUGAAAAGAGAGAGAGAGAGAGAG
Molecule: unclassified non-coding RNA, 879 nt
Filed under: Hevea brasiliensis (rubber tree)
Lineage: Eukaryota; Viridiplantae; Streptophyta; Magnoliopsida; Malpighiales; Euphorbiaceae
Source: RNAcentral